This 116-nucleotide ribosomal RNA is filed under the name Metabacillus idriensis. Lineage: Bacteria; Bacillati; Bacillota; Bacilli; Caryophanales; Bacillaceae. The record is from RNAcentral. RNAcentral also lists the same sequence under 5 other names.
UCUGGUGAUGAUGGCGAAGAGGUCACACCCGUUCCCAUGCCGAACACGGAAGUUAAGCUCUUCAGCGCCGAUGGUAGUUGGGGGUUUCCCCCUGCAAGAGUAGGACGUCGCCAGGC